Molecule: small nuclear RNA, 147 nt
Organism: Neofelis nebulosa (Clouded leopard)
Lineage: Eukaryota; Metazoa; Chordata; Mammalia; Carnivora; Felidae
Product: U4 spliceosomal RNA
Exons: 1
Source: RefSeq, a predicted model, not a curated record
AGCUUUGCGCAGUGGCAGUAUCGUAGCCAAUGAGGUUUAUCCGAGGCGCGAUUAUUGCUAAUUGAAAGACAUGAAACUCUUAACUAUACCCAGCAAAAUUAAUGGUACAUGGCACCACCUCUUGAAAUUUUAGGAUAAUUUUAGAAU